CGUGUGGGCGGCCAAACAGGUCCGUUGUGAAAACUGGAGGCUCAACCUCCAGACGUCGACGGAAACCGUAUGGCUAGAGUCCGGAAGAGGAGAGUGGAAUUCCUGGUGUAGCGGUGAAAUGCGCAGAUAUCAGGAAGAACACCAAUGGCGAAGGCAGCUCUCUGGGACGGUACUGACGCUGAGACGCGAAAGCGUGGGGAGCGAACA
RNAcentral lists this ribosomal RNA (207 nucleotides) under uncultured bacterium. RNAcentral's name for it is "partial 16S ribosomal RNA". It matches the Rfam family "Bacterial small subunit ribosomal RNA", at positions 568 to 774 of the family's 1533-position model. The record is from RNAcentral.